RNAcentral lists this ribosomal RNA (537 nucleotides) under uncultured bacterium. RNAcentral's name for it is "bacterial SSU rRNA". It matches the Rfam family "Bacterial small subunit ribosomal RNA", at positions 373 to 901 of the family's 1533-position model. The record is from RNAcentral.
GGGCGAAAGCCUGAUGGAGCAACGCCGCGUGAGUGAAGAAGGAUUUCGGUUCGUAAAACUCUGUUGUAAGGGAAGAACAAGUACAGUAGUAACUGGCUGUACCUUGACGGUACCUUAUUAGAAAGCCACGGCUAACUACGUGCCAGCAGCCGCGGUAAUACAUAGGUGGCAAGCGUUGUCCGGAAUUAUUGGGCGUAAAGCGCGCGCAGGUGGUUUCUUAAGUCUGAUGUGAAAGCCCACGGCUCAACCGUGGAGGGUCAUUGGAAACUGGGAGACUUGAGUGCAGAAGAGGAUAGUGGAAUUCCAAGUGUAGCGGUGAAAUGCGUAGAGAUUUGGAGGAACACCAGUGGCGAAGGCGGCUAUCUGGUCUGUAACUAACACUGAGGCGCGAAAGCGUGGGGAGCAAACAGGAUUAGAUACCCUGGUAGUCCACGCCGUAAACGAUGAGUGCUAAGUGUUAAGGGGUUUCCGCCCCUUAGUGCUGCAGCUAACGCAUUAAGCACUCCGCCUGGGGAGUACGGUCGCAAGACUGAAACU